Microplitis demolitor is the source of this 194-nucleotide small nuclear RNA. RefSeq annotates it as U2 spliceosomal RNA. The record is from RefSeq and is a predicted model, not a curated record. The transcript has a single exon. NCBI's taxonomy places the organism in Eukaryota, Metazoa, Arthropoda, Insecta, Hymenoptera, Braconidae.
AUCGCUUCUCGGCUUCUAUAAGCUAAGAUCAAAGUGUAGUAUCUGUUCUUAUCAGCUUAAUAUCUGAUACGAUUCUCAUUGAGAAUCCAGUAUAUUAAUCUGAUUUUUGGAAUUCGGUCGAGUCCCGGAGCUUGCUCCGGUUUGACCACGAGUUGCCCUGGCAUUGCAGUGCCGUCGGGUGCAGCUCCCACAGA